GAAUGAACGUUGAUGUGGUUGUUGCUGGCUCGUUGAGCAAGUGCACACUGCAUCAUCUUUAUCUCUCCACCUGUGCACCUUUUGUAGACUUGGAUACUUUGAUUUCCGAGGCAACUCGGGUUUGAGGAAUUGCUAAAUCAGCUUUCCUUGCCAUAUCCAAGGCUAUGUUUUUAUAUACCCUAAUGUAUGUAAUUGAAUGAAUGGAAUGGGCCCUUGUGCCUAUAAAAGUUUAUACAACUUUCAGCAACGGAUCUCUUGGCUCUCGCAUCGAUGAAGAACGCAGCGAAAUGCGAUAAGUAAUGUGAAUUGCAGAAUUCAGUGAAUCAUCGAAUCUUUGAACGCACCUUGCGCUCCUUGGUAUUCCGAGGAGCAUGCCUGUUUGAGUGUCAUUUAAAUUCUCAACCUUACAAUUAAUUUUGUAAUGGCUUGGAUUUGGGGGUUGCUGGCUUCAAUGUAAAGAGGUCUGCUCCCCUUAAAUAUAUUAGCUGGUGGUUUUUACAAGGCAUCUAUUGGCGUGAUAAUUUAUCUACACCAUUGGAUAUGUACAAUUCCACUGCUUCUAACAGUCUUGUUACAAGACAAAAAUUAAAUGAUAAUUUGACCUCAAAUCAGGUAGGACUACCCGCUGA
RNAcentral lists this ribosomal RNA (629 nucleotides) under Galerina tibiicystis. RNAcentral's name for it is "eukaryotic LSU rRNA". The stretch from base 236 to 389 matches the Rfam family "5.8S ribosomal RNA". Lineage: Eukaryota; Fungi; Basidiomycota; Agaricomycetes; Agaricales; Galerinaceae. The record is from RNAcentral.